UAAGUAUACCGGAAGGUAUGCUUGGAAU
This 28-nucleotide ribosomal RNA is filed under the name Allobates sp. Ica. RNAcentral's name for it is "partial 12S ribosomal RNA". The record is from RNAcentral. Lineage: Eukaryota; Metazoa; Chordata; Amphibia; Anura; Aromobatidae.